CCCUUAGAUGUUCUGGGCUGCACGCGCGCUACACUGAUGCACUCAACGAGUUUACGACCUUGCCCGAUAGGGUUGGGUAAUCUUUUUAAAAUGCAUCGUGAUGGGGAUAGAUUAUUGCAAUUAUUAAUCUUCAACGAGGAAUUCCUAGUAAGCGCGAGUCAUCAGCUCGUGCUGAUUACGUUCCUGCCCUUUGUACACACCGCCCGUCGCUCCUACCGAUUGAGUGCUCAGGUGAAUAAUUCGGACUGCAGCAAUGUUUGGAUCCCGAACGUUGCAGCGGAAAGUUUAGUGAACCUUAUCACUUAGAGGAAGGAGAAGUCGUAACA
This 326-nucleotide ribosomal RNA is filed under the name uncultured eukaryote. RNAcentral describes it as "partial 18S ribosomal RNA". It matches the Rfam family "Eukaryotic small subunit ribosomal RNA", at positions 1470 to 1796 of the family's 1831-position model. The record is from RNAcentral.